This 529-nucleotide ribosomal RNA is filed under the name Bifidobacterium breve. RNAcentral's name for it is "bacterial SSU rRNA". It matches the Rfam family "Bacterial small subunit ribosomal RNA", at positions 157 to 696 of the family's 1533-position model. Lineage: Bacteria; Bacillati; Actinomycetota; Actinomycetes; Bifidobacteriales; Bifidobacteriaceae. The record is from RNAcentral.
CGGGUGGUAAUGCCGGAUGCUCCAUCUCAUCGCAUGGUGUUUUGGGAAAGCCUUUGCGGCAUGGGAUGGGGUCGCGUCCUAUCAGCUUGAUGGCGGGGUAACGGCCCACCAUGGCUUCGACGGGUAGCCGGCCUGAGAGGGCGACCGGCCACAUUGGGACUGAGAUACGGCCCAGACUCCUACGGGAGGCAGCAGUGGGGAAUAUUGCACAAUGGGCGCAAGCCUGAUGCAGCGACGCCGCGUGAGGGAUGGAGGCCUUCGGGUUGUAAACCUCUUUUGUUAGGGAGCAAGGCAUUUUGUGUUGAGUGUACCUUUCGAAUAAGCACCGGCUAACUACGUGCCAGCAGCCGCGGUAAUACGUAGGGUGCAAGCGUUAUCCGGAAUUAUUGGGCGUAAAGGGCUCGUAGGCGGUUCGUCGCGUCCGGUGUGAAAGUCCAUCGCUUAACGGUGGAUCCGCGCCGGGUACGGGCGGGCUUGAGUGCGGUAGGGGAGACUGGAAUUCCCGGUGUAACGGUGGAAUGUGUAGAUA